CCCCUUCUCUACUGUACCGUUCUCUUUAUGCGGCUGUGAUUUGGGGACGGUGAGCAAGGGGGAGAUCACGGGAGGACGCGGCGUGCUGCUCGACCUCAUCGACGACGGUGCUGGAGGUUUGUGGGGCGGAGGAGGCGGUGACUGAGCUGAAGAAGGGUACACUGGUUCGUGGAUUUCCUAGCGAAUUGGUGUGUGCUGCUGGUUUUCGAGGACAUUUCUGACCGAGGAGGGACCGCGCGUUCGAGUAGCUGUUCUUGCGCCAGCCACCAGCGAGAUCGCAUCUCGCCGUCGCUGAUCUGGAAAGGCAGAUGUCGCUCCGCCGGGGAGGUCAUGGGUACUGGCAGCGAGCUUUGGCGUUGUGUUGAACGGCCUGCAGUUCCUUGUCGCUUAGGAUGAGGAAAAACGACAUGUAUGAAUCUCUCUGCCGCUCUGCACACUCCCAUUAUCCUCUUGCUUUGCAUCAUUUGUACUUCAUAAUGUGAUUUACUUAGUUUGUGUAUUUAAGCAAGUUAACAUUUGGAACUUUAAAAGCAUUUUUGUUUACAUUUUAGCGCUGAUUUUGCGCUUGCAAUUUCAAGUUAGGAGAUAACCUCGUAGGUACUUUCUUGUUCAUGUAUGGAUUAUCUGCAUGAUCUGCACUAUAUAAUUAUUUGAUAAGUCAUUGAUCUCCUUUUCAUUUUGUAGGGAAUUGAACUUGUAUUUUUUUUCAUGUUAACAUUGUACUGAUAUUUAAAUUAUUGUCUCUUUAGCAUUUCCUUGAUAAUAAUAAUUAGAUUGAUAGAGACGUUGAAAAUUGUCAAUGGUGCUGUCAAUAUAAUGUAGAUUUGAUAUUUUUUUUUGCUAAAUGAUCUUGAUUUACUUUUUCAAACAUGUUGACCUUUUUCAACGUGCUUCCCAUCCCAUUAUGCGUACAUUUUUUAGAAGAAACUAGUAAUAAAGUACGUGCAAUGCACGUUUAUAUUAGGUAGGAUAUUGGUUGCACGUUAUAUUAGAUAAGAUAUAUCUAUUGCACGUUGGUAUUUGGUAAGAUUUCAAUUACUUUUUUUGCGGGAAUGGUAGGAUAUUAAUUACGUGACAGAUUUCAUGGGACAGCGUUGAGUCAAAACGUGUUUAUAACCAAUGGCAGUGGUGGGUAAUUAGAGCGUUAAACGUGUUUGGUGCUCAACAUUGGAGCGAUUUGAACCGCUAGAUAUCAUGAUUUGACGGUUGAGAUGGUUUGGAUCUGCCCGUUUGGGUCUUUUUAUAUUGGUAUAGAUAUAGAUAUAGAUAGAUGUGUACGCCUCUUUUUUUAAGGGAUGUACGCCGCUCCCUUUCUUCUUUGCCUUUGAAGGGGAAUUGAAAGAAACUGAGGCUGCCCGUCCAUGGGGUGAUUCUGCCCCAAAUCUAAGUGCCCUGCCCGUCCAUGGUGCGAUCCUGUAGCAAGUCGCAAGGGGAAAAAGACAUCGAGGCUGCUGCCCCAAAUCUGAGUGCCCUGCCUGUCCACGGGGAGAUGCUGUACCAAAUCGCAAGUGGAGUACUAUACCAGAUUGAUUUGCUUGCCCAUCCGUGGCCAAAGCUUGGAGGAGGUGACGUUGGUGGCCAUUUUUUGCCCAGGCCGGGACAUGCGCUGCGGAUCAGGCGUUGCCCACCAGCGAGGCGGCAUCUCACUGUUGCUUAUGUUGGAAGUCCAUUUGCGAUGGGCCAUCUUCUGUUUGUCUGUCGCCUUAGGCUGCGGACGUGCUGACAGCACGAAGGGCCACUUUGAGUCGCUUGGUGACAUAAUGAUAUUAGGAGCAUCACCGGCAAACCUACCUUCAGUUUUAGCUCGUGGUUUGGAAUUUUUGGGAUAGUCAUGUUGUUAAGAAACUCUGUUGGACACAUAUUCUCCAUUGUGUUGUACUUCAUUGUUGCCUUGCAUACAGUGUCCAAGCUUAGGUAUGUCACCUCUUCCCCUUGUAUUUGGCUCAUUAUGUAGUCAUUUAUCUUCUCAACUGUUUCAUUCCUUGGACAUAGUAUUGCUCUUUCUUCGAGAAAUUCACGGUCAUGGUAGUUUUGUUGCAAGUUUGGGUACGUGCUUUUGACUAUCUCUUCUUUGGGGUCUUCUCCUUUAUGUAGAAUUAUGUCUUUAGGUAUUUUUACCCAAUCAUCCCCUUCAUCGUUUGUUCUUUUUCCGUCCCCAAUUUGUAAUAUCCAUUCUGCAAAUUGAGCCACAUUUUGCUUUUGUAUUGGAUCUUCUGACAGGCACUUCAACCGCAUAUUUUCAGUUAGGCUAAAUAUUUCGAUGUGCUUCCAUAGGUAUGACCUUUUGAUUGAGGCAUUUACUAUCUGUUCUCUCCUUCCCUUUGUUAUGACUGGAAGUAUUUGUCUGAAGUCGCCUCCUAGCACCACGGUCAUGCCACCAAAUGGCCUUUCGAGACUGUUUUGGUUUGUGAACCUUAUAAUAUCCCUAAGGCUUUUGUCUAGUGCCUCGAAGCAGUGUUUGUUUGCCUUCGGAGCCUCGUCCCACAAUAUCAGUGAGGUCUUCUUUACCAGUUCAGCCAAAUGUGAGCCUUGUUUUAUUUCACAUGUUGGUUCUUCCGUGAUAUUUAUUGGAAUGUGGAAUCUUGAGUGUGCUGUUCUUCCACCUUGGAGCAGCAAAGCUGCAAUGCCAGAUGAUGCUACCGCAAGCACUAUCUUUCCCUCUGAUCGUAGUUUCGUUGUAAUUGCUUUCCAUUGAUAUGUUUUGCCUGUGCCACCAUAGCCUUCUACAAAUAUCUGUUUUCCAUGUCCUCUCUCAGCUGACUCUAUUAUUGCAUCAAAGGCCAUUUUCUGGUCAUGGUUAAGAUUGCUUAUUAUGGUUUUGUGCUCACCUUUAGUGUUUCCAUGUCGUAGCUAAGUUCUUCAUUUAUCAUUCUGUUCCCAAGUUGUUCAAGUUCUGUAGCAUUUGGUAGUUCUAUGUCUGGAUAGUCCUUUAGUGUCUUUCCUGCUUGCCUCAUUAGUUUCUCUAUCUCGAUCAGAGCAUAUGCUUUUUUUUGUGAAUCAGUGAGCUGCAGCAUAGGAAAGUUUAGGAUAAUUCUUCUUUUGUACUGGAUAUCUUCAGAUAGUGCCUCCCAUGUUGAAUCCCACAACAUCUUUGGGCUGGUAACCUCACAAUGGCAUAAAAUUGUGCUGAAUAGCUGUCGUAAUUGUGUCCCGGAUCCCCAUGUUGAUGAUUCAUUGAUGCAUUCAAUCCACUCACUAUCAUCAUCAAGAAAACCAAGCGUCUGGCAUGCUGAUUUGUAUGUUGGGUGAACAACUCCAUUAACUGUUCUAAUAUCCUCAAAUGAUGUGCAUCCUUUCUUUGUGUUUAGAAGCAUUCUCAUAUAAUACCGCUCUCCACUUGCAGGUGUGCAUAGUAGAUUCAACCAAUAGCAAAGCCUCUUUUCCGCUCCUCCCAAGUUUUGGUGUCGCUUUUCCAUACAAAUUUUGAUGGCAAUUCUGCAUAGUCUCUCUACUGGUGGAUCACGAUGGUGUAGUAGAUCAAACUGGAAUAUCCGCCAGCAUGCUUCAGUUGUUGAUAUGUAUCUCAUCUCUAGGAUUAUUGUGUUGUGUGGUUGGAGCUGCAGUGGAUGGCAUUAUUGCUGUGACAGUGUGCUUGUUUCUCAGUGAACGACAGUUGCUCCAUGGGAAUUAGUACGGCGAAGUACUCUCUAAAAUCAUUUUUAGCACUAUACGUAAAAUUAUUAGGUUCUGCAAUAUUUCAAAGGGCAAUAUUUCAAAUAUAUAUGUUAGAAAAGUACCAAAAAAUAGUAAGCAUUACAUUAAAGAUAGAAAAAGGUCAACAAUAUACCUGAUUGUGUUUUCUUUUUCUUUUUAAUUUUUGUAAAGCUUCACACGCCUGAGCCAAUUAUUGUCGUAAUUGUAUCUUUGCUGCAAAUCAAAUCCUGUAGCGAUUCUGGAUUUUUUUGUAGCAAAUUAUUAAAGCAUAUCUUUGUAUUGCUGCCAUGACUUUAUCAGCGUGUGUGUCAGUUUUAGUUCACCACAGAAGCUGGUACUAUUUUCUCAAAGAAAAUAGAGUUUAUGUCAAGAGCCAAGGCAAGACGUGC
Long non-coding RNA from Triticum dicoccoides, 4043 nucleotides. RefSeq lists it as uncharacterized. The transcript is spliced from 5 exons. Lineage: Eukaryota; Viridiplantae; Streptophyta; Magnoliopsida; Poales; Poaceae. The record is from RefSeq and is a predicted model, not a curated record.